RNAcentral lists this ribosomal RNA (121 nucleotides) under Vibrio alginolyticus. RNAcentral's name for it is "partial 16S ribosomal RNA". It matches the Rfam family "Bacterial small subunit ribosomal RNA", at positions 1424 to 1533 of the family's 1533-position model. The record is from RNAcentral. Lineage: Bacteria; Pseudomonadati; Pseudomonadota; Gammaproteobacteria; Vibrionales; Vibrionaceae.
AAGUGGGUAGUUUAACCUUUCGGGGAGGACGCUCACCACUUUGUGGUUCAUGACUGGGGUGAAGUCGUAACAAGGUAGCGCUAGGGGAACCUGGCGCUGGAUCACCUCCUUAUACGAUGAU